ACAGAUUCCCGGUCUGUCGCUGGCAGCAUAAGGUGCUGCGAGAGGAAAGUCCGGGCAGCAUAGGGCAUCCCACUUCUGAAAAUGGAAGCUGUUGGCGACAGCAGGUUGGUGCAGAAGAAAACAACCGCCGCCCCUUGGGACGGUAAGGGUGAGAAGGUGGUGUAAGAGACCACCAGCCGAUGGGUGAUCAUCGGGCUGUGCACACUGGGAGCUGCAAGUUCGCGUAUACCAUCGUCUGAGGGUAGCCCGCCCGACUAACUCCGAUGGAGGGUAGAACGCUGGAGCCUAUGGGUGACUGUAGGCGUAGAUAAAUGACAGACAGUGCCGCUCUUGGCACGACAGAACCCGGCUUACAGGGGGUCUGCUUCC
RNAcentral lists this RNase P RNA (369 nucleotides) under Prevotella sp. RNAcentral describes it as "RNase P RNA component class A". It matches the Rfam family "Bacterial RNase P class A". Rfam says of the family: Ribonuclease P (RNase P) is a ubiquitous endoribonuclease, found in archaea, bacteria and eukarya as well as chloroplasts and mitochondria. Its best characterised activity is the generation of mature 5'-ends of tRNAs by cleaving the 5'-leader elements of precursor-tRNAs. The record is from RNAcentral. Lineage: Bacteria; Pseudomonadati; Bacteroidota; Bacteroidia; Bacteroidales; Prevotellaceae.